GUCCUGGUCCUCGCGGGGCCCGCUCCCGGGAGGCGAAGCUCCACGGAGGACGCGGAGGUGGUUUCAGGCCGCAGCGCCGGGGGCUCCUCUGCCCGCGCUGCUCGGGGAGACGGGUUGCUCUCUCUUCAAGUUCUAGCCUAUCCGUCCCUCCAUCUUGGAGAGAGACCCUCGCAGCCUUCCCGCGUUCACUCCGCCGGGGGCCGCUGGAGCGGAAGCUGCGGGGUCUCGGGGCCCGGCUCUUUCCCGCCGAGCCGCGAGCCGCGGGUGCGCAUGCUCCGCAGAGGCCCGCACAGGCCCUGAGUGAACCCUGAUAGAGCCAUCGCGAGGCGGGCCCCAGAUUCGGAUGAGGAGCCCCACGCCAACUGAAAUGGGAGGCAGUCCGCCCGCCUCAUGUAACCUGGCUGCCCGUUCUCGCUGGACCAGGGCCUUUCACUCACAAGCUCCUCAGCAGAUGGGGCAUCCCAUUUCCAGUGGGCUUCCACUCGACGCUGGCUUGGCUUCGUGGAAAGAGAGUGGGUGAAAAGUCAGAGCCUAAGAGCUGCCGCUGGACUCCGCAGCCUUCACCUUGCCUCUUCCUAUUUGGAAGCAGAUGCGCGUCCAGUUAGCACAGUCCUGCUUCUCGACCAGGAGCCCUUCCCCUGAAUGAAGAAAGUGGGACAGGAGGAGUUGAGCUACCUGCCCAGGACUCUAACCAGAUACCUGACUGGGUAUCUUGCCAUCCUUCUCCGGUACCAGGGUCAGGAGAAGGGCUCCUACCCUCUGGAGGCUCCGAGUUUCAAGGAGGAGGAAAAAAAAACAAAAACUAACAAAGCAAUAACAACAAAACUUUCCUUCUUAUUAGCUAUAAAUAAAUGCAGCUGGGCAUACAUUUUUCAAAAUGCCAGAAAGACAAAUGGACCAAGAACUCAGAUGUGCGAGUGUUUACCCUCCCCCUUCUUCCUCAUGAACCUGUGGCUGUGCCUUUGUGUAUACAAGGCCAAGUGGUGGAUGCUUGAAGAUACCUGCCUUCCUUCUAGACAUUUGGCCCUGGAGGAACACACAGAAGACUCGUCACAAGGACUGGGAGAACCUCUCUUCAUGGAAGGUCCUCAUCAUCACGGCUUUCCUAGCACUAUGAAGCGAGCCGUUCUUCCCAGCGCAAGGUGGAACUGAAGGCACUUCAGCCGAAGGGGAAGGGAAGAACUGAAGGCCAAGGCUCGGGAGAGAGUUCCUGGAGGUUACGUGACCAUCUUUAAGUAGGGGUGUAGGUCCUGCAAAGCUCCGAAACUCAGGCUGCUCUCCUGACACCCGCCAGGUCCCCUCUCCAAGCUCCCCAGGCUGGGGCAGGAAGUGGUUCCCCCUUCCAAAAGAAUUUCAAAGAAAUGCCCCUGUGCCCCAGGUCGCUGCAUUCCUUCAGCAAAAGGGAGCUGCCAGAGCUGGUGAAACCCGAGUCCUGUGGUGCAGGCUGGACCGGAAGCACGUCUGAGAUCUCAGAACCUGCACCAAGGCAGGGAAAAGUCUCUUAGAGUGUGUUCAUUUUUUUUUCCUGGCUAAAUCUAAUUAAGACAAGGUCCUAGCUUCCUCUGAGUCUGCUGCAGGUCAUCAGGCAGUUUCUAAGAAGGACUGUGAAAACUCUCUGGCUUCCCCACAGCAAUACUCACUCAGAAUGUGUCCUGUUCUCUCUGGAGUCUUAUUUCAGCAACAAGUCAAUGUCUUCCCAUAAGGGGUGUGAAUGAUAAGCUUCUGUUUCCCAGUGAAGUUUAGGAGCUAAACUUCCCUCUCACCAGUGCACCACCCCCUCCUCCACACACAAAGUAGACUCUACAUCCACCUAACAACUCUUUCUUAUUCCCUAAAUAACCCAGCCCAAAGGAAGAAAGACAGGUGGUCAGAAUCAGAGAGGUGUAAGAAGAAACCAGGGGGCCAAAUACAGUGAGAGUGAGCAAGGCGCAGGCAGAGCAAUAACUCAUCGUCUAGAGAGGCAGGCUGGCGGCACCUGGGAAGUCCACUUGGGGAUCAAAGUGGCUAAGCAAGGAUAGUCUUAGAUGACUCCAAGGUAAGCCCAGCUGGCUAGCACCCCAGCAUCCAGGAGGGCUGGCACCUUGACUUGACUUGGCAGAAUAAUCAUGUACAUGCUUCUCUAUGUACUUGAUGUUUAUUUAAUCUUCCCAACAAUUCUAUAAUAGCCCCAUUUUACAGAUGAAGUAACUGAGGCACAGAGAGAGUAGGUAACUUGCCUAGAGUCAUACAAUCAGUAUGUCGGAGAGCCCAGAUUUGAACCCGGCAAUCUGGCUUCAGAGUCUAAGCACCAAACCACCACAUCGCAGCUCACACCCGUUACUGGAUGUUCAAGUUGCUGUGGCUGUACAAUCCCCAAACUUAGUGGCUUAAAACAUCGUCAACCAUCUGUUUAGCUCAUGAGUCUACAAUCUGGGCAGGGCAUGGUAAGAAAGGUUAGGUUCUGCUGGGGCAUCUUAUCUGAGGACAGGAGGGCCCACGGGCAAGAUGAUCCACUCACAUGGUUAGCAAGUGCGAAACAGCUGCUGGCUGGGAGAUCAGGCCAGAUCGAGACCUGGGACUGUGCUCUUUUCUGUGCGGGACUCUCCACGGGCUGCUUGGCCUUCCUCGCAGCAUGGUGGCUGGGUUCCAAGAGUGAGACCCCCAAGAGACAGGAAAUGGAAACUGACAGUUUUUUAAAGCUUAGGCCCAGAAACUGGCAGGGCAUCAUUUUUGCCAUAUUCUGUUGGUUGAAGCAGUGAUGUAUCCCAGGUUCAAGGGAAAGGGGUCUAAUGGAAGGAGUAUUAGAAUUUGGGACUGUGUUUUUAAACUGCUACAUGGGGCCUGGGGUUCAGAAGAAGUCCUGGAUCUCAGGAAUGAGGGAGUUACCGCUCACUGCUACCUUUUGCUCAGGGCUGAGCAGAGGGAAGUAAGUCUCCAGUGUGUGCCAGGUUUUGGCCUCACAGGCAUUAUCUCAAUUACCUCAAUCGCAUGCAGGUUUUCUCACCACUUUAGAUGAGUGCUGUGAGCCUCAGAGAGGGCAUUAACCUUACCCAAGGUCGGCCAGCUGGUAAGUGGCAGAGCUUUUCUGACUCCAGAGCUGAACCUUGAGCUCUCCUGGGGAACUGCCCACAGAUGAGGAGCAGGGCUGGCCCCAGAGGUACAACGAGGUUGUCCGGGAAGAGGACAAUGAGCCAAGCUAUUACUCCCUACCCGCUCCAGAACCCCCACCAGGUCAGAGAAGGACUCCAAACACUCUGUCUCAAGGCAUCCUUUCCCUCCUGUGCCUCCUCCCCGGCUGGGGCAUGUACAGACCUUCCUCCUUGGCCCUGCCUCCCAAAUUGUGUUUCUCAAUUCCGAGCAGUUCCCGAAAUCCUCUCUGUACUUCCUUGAAACCUUCCCAGAGGCAUUCCCCCAGUUCUACCUGUCUCAGCCAUAAGCUGCGACUAAUUACCAGCAUAAAGCUUUCAAGUCUUUAAAUAAACUUUUUGUUUAUAAUUUUAGAUUCACAGAAAAAUUCUAAAGAUGGUACAGAGAGCUCCCAUGUUCUCUAUGCCAGUUUCCCCCAUUAUUAUCGCCUUAUGUUAGCCUGCUACCUGUCACAAUGAGUAGACAAAUACUGAUAUAUUACUGUUAGCCGUGUGAUAUUAUGAGCAUUAUUAUUAAAGCAUAAGUCCAUA
Molecule: non-coding RNA, 3656 nt
Organism: Vicugna pacos (alpaca)
Lineage: Eukaryota; Metazoa; Chordata; Mammalia; Artiodactyla; Camelidae
Source: RefSeq, a predicted model, not a curated record